CAGGUCCAACGAUCUCGCUUCCAACGCAUCCAUCCUGGGCCUACAAACCUUCAGAUCCUUCCCAACCUCCGGCACCGCCGCCGCCACCACUGCGCACGGUCCGCCGCUGGCCGCCGACAUGAGGCGCGUCCUGAUGAAGGGCCACGAACGCCGGCUAGCGUUCCUACGCAACAACCCGGGACAGCGACCUGCUCUUCUCCUGCGCGAAGGAGCACGCCCCCACCUUCUCCGUCUGGUACGCCGAGGACCCUGACAAUGCGACUACCGUGAGUCAUGCGUUCUCCCUCUCGAUUGCUUAUGCAAUUUUUCCUAGAUGCAUGAUGGAUUUUGUGGCAUGUGUGAUUUACUGGUGUCUGCCGAGAUAGGGGAGUUCGCGCUGGUAAGUGUGGGGGCUGCUGGACAGGAUAGUCAUCACCGCCGGCGAGGACGCCACCAUUGGCAUCUGACACUCGGAGGCACGGUCGCUAAAAAAAACAACUUAUUUGGAUGACACCUUGGCAAAGUUGGCUGAGCCAGGCAGCUCAUCCAGGCCAUCGAUUUCGUGCACCUGGGGCCACGAUGGCUGCCUGGCAGCAGCUGCCUGGGUGAGGCCUUCAUCCAAACAAGCCUGAUAUUCAAUGUCACAUGCCUAGCUACGGCAUACAAAGAAGCUAACACUAAUCAAGACUAUGUUACAGAGUGACAAGUUAAUGCCAUUGACAUCUCUCCUGCUCAUGGCACCGUUGUCGUAGGAGGUGGUCAGGAUGAAAUGAGUGUGACUAUGAAGACCACCAUGCUGGCCAAUUUGAGGCUAAAUUCUACCACUAGGCAUUUUACACCAAUAAUGUGUUGUCAUUUAAUCUAUGGAGGUAAUAUUUUUGAUCCAACAGUGUCUGUCACUAUAGUUGUUUUUUUAUGUAUACAUUUGGCUGCUGUCCAUUUGAAAUAUAAAAAUUUUAUGCUCAUGUUUCAUGUUUCUUUGUGAUUGUAUCCCCACAUGCUCAAUUAUUAAGCCCAGGGUUGGAGCCAGAGAAUGUCUAGGACCUGGGCUGACCAAGUUACGACAGUCCUAAUCAUUUAAUAAUAUCAUUUUCUUCUACAUUUCUAGUAGCUGGGCACUGAGAUUUGGGCCUAGGAAACCCCUGAGACCUGGCUCUGGCACUGAUUAAACCUUGUUAAUACAAUACGGUUAAUCACAAUUCGGAUUCCAUGAGCUUUACGUGAGCAGAUUUUAUGUCAAUUUGUAUACUUUUCAUUAGCUUUUUGUAUUGAUUUAUAUAUUUCCAGCAUUAUUUUUUUUUGAUUGUAGAAUAAUAGGAUUGGUGUAAUUGAUGGAUGUAUUGCAUUGAGGACUCGGCCGGUAUAUAUGAGAGUACAUGACUUGGGGGGUAAGACAUCCCCCGGGAUACAUAUGGCAGUCUACGAUACGUCGAUACGUAUAUCUACAACUAUCAAAUAUACUCUAAUACUCCCCCGCAGUCACAGCGGGAGCACCGCAGACGGUGAGACUGAAGAAGAAGCCGAAAGCAGGAGCCAACAGACUAACAUCCCCCCGCAGUCAUAAUGUCGGUGUGGUGCGGAUGUUGCGACUGGAGAGAAACCAGCGAGUAACUCAUGCGGAUGGUAGCCCUUUGUGCCGAUGUCGAGGUAGCCGAGCUGGAGGGCGAGGAGCCAUGGUCGAAGAUGCCGUGCAUAGGAUAGCCGUGGUCGAAGUAGAGCUGUCGAGGUUGCCGAAGGCGAGGUAGCCACACAUGAAGCCGCGGGCGCACGAGGAGGCGCCGUGGUGGUGGCGUAAUGGAGAAGAUGCCGGAGACGAAGAUGGUGACGCGUCGAGGCAGUUGUAGAGGGAGCGAUGCCAAAGUCGAUGCAGUCAGGCCAUCGGGCGACACAUGUCCGAGUUUGCCAGGCUCGGGAACGCAUCGGGGACGAUGGGAACGCAUCGGGGACGAUGGGCACGCACCGGUGUUGCCAAUACCGGACGUGCAAGGGAGGAAGCACAACCAGAUGCCGUCGCCGGGGGGCCAGUAGAGAAGGCCUCCAUAGCGGUCGCAGGCGGAGAAGAAGGCGAGGUAGAAGAUGCCAACGCCUGCUGUUGCUGGAGUAGACGAAGUAGUCAGGGACGAGAUGGCGACGCUGUCGACGUGGUUGUGCUAGUAGAAGCGAGGAGGGGAACCCAGAUUUUCCAGCACAAGGCCGAAUGAUCCAGAUGAUGCGGCAGCGGCGCUCGAAAGAGGCGGCAAAGAAAUCGUACAGCUUGACGAAGACCAUGCGCGGGGCGCGCAGCGACGAGUCGACGAUGAGGUCGGGGACGGGGUCGGCGGCGGUGAGGAAGCAACGACAGAGAAGACCGCGGGGUGACGCCACUGCUGCCCGAUGAGGCGACGCAGCGACAGCCUCCGUGCUCGGUGAAGGGCGCGCUCGACGAGGACGGACGUCACGGGAGCCGGUGGAUCACGCAUGUCGGUUGAUCAGGCCGAGUAUUCGCGAGGCGAGAAGAUGAUGGGCAAAGCUGGCGGAGGCGUCCCGAUCGGUGGAGGCGACGACGAGCCAGCGAAGGACAACGCGAGGACAAAACGGCGAGGUGGGCGUCCCCUAGGUCACCGUCCAUGUUUCCAUGCCGCACAGUCAUGGUCGAGGAAGAAGCCGGUGAAGUCGACGCCGACGUCGAAGUAGAGGCGCGAGGUCGACUGGCGGUGGGCGACUCAAUCUCGAUCAGUGAUCGAGUAAAAAAUCAGAGAAACUAACCAAAAAUAAACCAGCAACUACUUCUUGUGUAGAACCUCCGGGUGCGCUGAGUACUUCACCCAUCUUUCUCUCCCCUCGGCACAUCACGCCAGCAGAAGCAGAGACGCCUGUGCGUGGGAGAAAGAUAUCAGAGGGGCGAUAGAAGUCGACGCCAACGGAGGGGCCCCACUAGGGAGGAGUUGGCCUGCUGGCGGUGGAUCCCCGCGAGGGAGGAGCCGCGCGGAGGGGGGUCGGAGCAGCCAGCCGCGGAUGCAGCUCGGCGCUGCGUUGUGGUAGAAGUCCGGCGCGGCCAGCGACGCCACGACCACCGGUAGGUGAAGGCCUAGCGAGGCGGAGCGAUGGCAGCCCGGCGCACGGCGAGGAGUGACGGGAUAGGAGACCGGGGUGGAGUGGAUCCGCCAGCGUUGGAAGGAACCGGCGCGGAUCCACCGGAGGAGGCGAAAGCGACGGAGCCGGCCCGUGGCUGAUGGAUUCUGCUAGGAAAGAAGCAGAGGAGGGAGGCCAAGGCCAGCCCACAGACGAUGGCGCCCGGGUGAGUCCUUCACAAUCUGUUGUUGCUGGAUGACAUGCUACAACGGCGGAUCAAAUUGAUCUGCCGUCGGACUUCGGAGGACGCAGCCCCCGGCGGAGAUCAUGGGCGACCUCCCCGGGGGCGCGCUAGGAGGCCGUCGCGGGGGUGCGCUGGCGGCGCACCGUGGGGGGACGACCGGCGGCGUGUGAAGAACAGAGGCGAUGGUGGCGGCAGCGGAAGGUUUAGCCUAGGAUCCCAAACCCUAAUCUCAGUGAUACUAUGUAGAAUAAUAUGAUUGGUGUAAUUGAUGGAUGUAUUGCAUUGAGGACUCGGCCGGUAUAUAUGAGAGUACAUGACUUGGGGGGUAAGACAUCCCCCGGGAUACAUAUGGCAGUCUACGAUACGUAUAUCUACAACUACCAAAUAUACUCUAAUACUGAUAUUUGAAUAGUUGUUUGUUGGAAUUCAGUAAUUACUUGCAGGUUACUUGUCAGGCAAUGUAAGCAUUUGCAAUCUUGACCUUAGUGCUGAAGCUUAUCUCUGCAUUUUAUAAUGUUGAAGAUUUUCUUUUUGGUGAACUUACAAUUAUAUGCGGGCUUUUUUUUUUUUUUGAGAAACAGGAUUUCCAUCUUGUACUUCUAUUCUCACUUUUGCCGGUCAUUCCUGAAAGCUAAAUCUUUUACUGAUGUUCUUUAUUUUUAGCAGCUUUUUGGGUGGUGGUGAAGAUGGAUGUGUAAUGUUGCACCAUUUAGAUUUGGACUACUUCAAUAGGGCUCUACCUCACAUCGAUCACACACACACACACACCCCUUUGUGGCUGCAGGUUGAAGAUGAAGGAGAGGAAGAGAAGCAGGAAGAACACACGAGGAGUGGUGCUGCUUAAACACUGAGCUGCAGCUGCUCUCCCUUAUAUUCACAAUUCAGUCAAGGAUGAGCAUUUACAAGGCAGUGUAUGAGGAAACCAAUAGACACAAGAGGUGCUGGUUAGUCUUGAUGCUUGAUUGCUUGGAGAGUUUGAUCACAAAUUUAUGUAUUGGUAAUGUAUUUACUGUUAGAUAUUUCAGUUGUGCUUAAGAACUUUGUACCCAUGGCAAUGGAAAUAUCCUUAGAUUGCAAUCAUAAAUUCAUUUUGUUAUA
Long non-coding RNA from Panicum virgatum (switchgrass), 4372 nucleotides. RefSeq lists it as uncharacterized. NCBI's taxonomy places the organism in Eukaryota, Viridiplantae, Streptophyta, Magnoliopsida, Poales, Poaceae. The record is from RefSeq and is a predicted model, not a curated record. The transcript is spliced from 5 exons.